RNAcentral lists this ribosomal RNA (446 nucleotides) under uncultured bacterium. RNAcentral describes it as "bacterial SSU rRNA". It matches the Rfam family "Bacterial small subunit ribosomal RNA", at positions 337 to 797 of the family's 1533-position model. The record is from RNAcentral.
GCCUACGGGGGGCAGCAGUGGGGAAUAUUGGGCAAUGGGCGAAAGCCUGACCCAGCAACGCCGCGUGAGGGAAGAAGGUUUUCGGAUUGUAAACCUCUGUCGCAGAUGACGAAGAAAGUGACGGUAAUCUGUGAGGAAGCCCCGGCUAACUACGUGCCAGCAGCCGCGGUAAUACGUAGGGGGCGAGCGUUGUCCGGAAUUACUGGGCGUAAAGGGUGCGUAGGCGGUUAAUUAAGUUGGAUGUGAAAUACCCGGGCUUAACCUGGGGGGUGCAUUCAAAACUGGUUAACUAGAGUUCAGGAGAGGGAAGCGGAAUUCCUAGUGUAGCGGUGAAAUGCGUAGAUAUUAGGAGGAACACCAGUGGCGAAGGCGGCUUUCUGGACUGACACUGACGCUGAGGCACGAAAGCGUGGGGAGCAAACAGGAUUAGAUACCCGUGUAGUCCG